UACGUAGGGGGCAAGCGUUGUCCGGAUUUAUUGGGCGUAAAGAGCGUGUAGGCGGCUUUGCAAGUCCGUUGUGAAGACUCGAGGCUCAACCUCGAGACGCCGGUGGAAACUGCAAAGCUAGAGUCCGGAAGAGGAGAGUGGAAUUCCUGGUGUAGCGGUGAAAUGCGCAGAUAUCAGGAAGAACACCCGUGGCGAAGGCGGCUCUCUGGGACGGUACUGACGCUGAGACGCGAAAGCGUGGGGAGCGAACAGG
RNAcentral lists this ribosomal RNA (253 nucleotides) under uncultured bacterium. Its description in RNAcentral is "partial 16S ribosomal RNA". It matches the Rfam family "Bacterial small subunit ribosomal RNA", at positions 524 to 776 of the family's 1533-position model. The record is from RNAcentral.